Molecule: ribosomal RNA, 1717 nt
Filed under: Mycobacterium tuberculosis
Lineage: Bacteria; Bacillati; Actinomycetota; Actinomycetes; Mycobacteriales; Mycobacteriaceae
Description: bacterial LSU rRNA
Rfam family: Bacterial large subunit ribosomal RNA
Source: RNAcentral
UCCCCGCCGAAAGACCAAGGGUUCCUGGGCCAGGCCAGUCCGCCCAGGGUGAGUCGGGACCUAAGGCGAGGCCGACAGGCGUAGUCGAUGGACAACGGGUUGAUAUUCCCGUACCCGUGUGUGGGCGCCCGUGACGAAUCAGCGGUACUAACCACCCAAAACCGGAUCGAUCACUCCCCUUCGGGGGUGUGGAGUUCUGGGGCUGCGUGGGAACUUCGCUGGUAGUAGUCAAGCGAAGGGGUGACGCAGGAAGGUAGCCGUACCAGUCAGUGGUAACACUGGGGCAAGCCGGUAGGGAGAGCGAUAGGCAAAUCCGUCGCUCACUAAUCCUGAGAGGUGACGCAUAGCCGGUUGAGGCGAAUUCGGUGAUCCUCUGCUGCCAAGAAAAGCCUCUAGCGAGCACACACACGGCCCGUACCCCAAACCGACACAGGUGGUCAGGUAGAGCAUACCAAGGCGUACGAGAUAACUAUGGUUAAGGAACUCGGCAAAAUGCCCCCGUAACUUCGGGAGAAGGGGGACCGGAAUAUCGUGAACACCCUUGCGGUGGGAGCGGGAUCCGGUCGCAGAAACCAGUGAGGAGCGACUGUUUACUAAAAACACAGGUCCGUGCGAAGUCGCAAGACGAUGUAUACGGACUGACGCCUGCCCGGUGCUGGAAGGUUAAGAGGACCCGUUAACCCGCAAGGGUGAAGCGGAGAAUUUAAGCCCCAGUAAACGGCGGUGGUAACUAUAACCAUCCUAAGGUAGCGAAAUUCCUUGUCGGGUAAGUUCCGACCUGCACGAAUGGCGUAACGACUUCUCAACUGUCUCAACCAUAGACUCGGCGAAAUUGCACUACGAGUAAAGAUGCUCGUUACGCGCGGCAGGACGAAAAGACCCCGGGACCUUCACUACAACUUGGUAUUGAUGUUCGGUACGGUUUGUGUAGGAUAGGUGGGAGACUGUGAAACCUCGACGCCAGUUGGGGCGGAGUCGUUGUUGAAAUACCACUCUGAUCGUAUUGGGCAUCUAACCUCGAACCCUGAAUCGGGUUUAGGGACAGUGCCUGGCGGGUAGUUUAACUGGGGCGGUUGCCUCCUAAAAUGUAACGGAGGCGCCCAAAGGUUCCCUCAACCUGGACGGCAAUCAGGUGGCGAGUGUAAAUGCACAAGGGAGCUUGACUGCGAGACUUACAAGUCAAGCAGGGACGAAAGUCGGGAUUAGUGAUCCGGCACCCCCGAGUGGAAGGGGUGUCGCUCAACGGAUAAAAGGUACCCCGGGGAUAACAGGCUGAUCUUCCCCAAGAGUCCAUAUCGACGGGAUGGUUUGGCACCUCGAUGUCGGCUCGUCGCAUCCUGGGGCUGGAGCAGGUCCCAAGGGUUGGGCUGUUCGCCCAUUAAAGCGGCACGCGAGCUGGGUUUAGAACGUCGUGAGACAGUUCGGUCUCUAUCCGCCGCGCGCGUCAGAAACUUGAGGAAACCUGUCCCUAGUACGAGAGGACCGGGACGGACGAACCUCUGGUGCACCAGUUGUCCCGCCAGGGGCACCGCUGGAUAGCCACGUUCGGUCAGGAUAACCGCUGAAAGCAUCUAAGCGGGAAACCUUCUCCAAGAUCAGGUUUCUCACCCACUUGGUGGGAUAAGGCCCCCCGCAGAACACGGGUUCAAUAGGUCAGACCUGGAAGCUCAGUAAUGGGUGUAGGGAACUGGUGCUAACCGGCCGAAAACUUACAACA